UACGUAGGGUGCAGGCGUUAAUCGGAAUUACUGGGCGUAAAGCGUGCGAAGGCGGUUUCUUAAGUCAGAUGUGAAAGCCCCGGGCUUAACCUGGGAACUGCGUUUGAAACUGGGAGACUUGAGUGUGGCAGAGGGGGGUGGAAUUCCACGUGUAGCAGUGAAAUGCGUAGAUAUGUGGAGGAACACCGAUGGCGAAGGCAGCCCCCUGGGUUAACACUGACGCUCAUGCACGAAAGCGUGGGGAGCAAACAGG
This 253-nucleotide ribosomal RNA is filed under the name uncultured bacterium. Its description in RNAcentral is "partial 16S ribosomal RNA". It matches the Rfam family "Bacterial small subunit ribosomal RNA", at positions 524 to 776 of the family's 1533-position model. The record is from RNAcentral.